AACGUAGGACGCAAACGUUAUCCGGAAUUACUGGGCGUAAAGGGCGCGCAGGCGGUCGGGUAAGUGAGGCAUGAAAGACCCAGGCUAAACCUGGGGAGGCUGUCUGAGACUGUCCGACUGGAGUGCGAUAGAGGGGUGUAGAAUUCCGCGUGUAGUGGUGAAAUGCGUAGAGAUGCGGAGGAAUACCAGAGGCGAAGGCGGCACCCUGGAUCGUAACUGACGCUGAGGCGCGAAAGCAUGGGUAGCGAACGGG
Molecule: ribosomal RNA, 253 nt
Filed under: uncultured bacterium
Lineage: Bacteria
Description: partial 16S ribosomal RNA
Rfam family: Bacterial small subunit ribosomal RNA
Source: RNAcentral